Long non-coding RNA from Heterocephalus glaber (naked mole-rat), 1005 nucleotides. The record is from Ensembl. NCBI's taxonomy places the organism in Eukaryota, Metazoa, Chordata, Mammalia, Rodentia, Bathyergidae.
CUCCUUCAAUUUCACCAAAUAUCUCAAUCAUAUAUCUCAGCUCUCUUUCCAAUAAAACUUUCACUGAAUAUUUUUAAAUCUGUUUUUAUUCUAAGUGCUGGAAAUGGCCACAUGAGCGCAGUGGGAGGAGGGUAAGGUUCUGAUUUUUAAGGCAUACUUUAUUAGCCCAUAAAGGGCCAAAUGACAUACGAUGUGGACAUAGAACAAUCAUUGAAAUCACAGGUUACAUACAUAUGUUGAAAUUACAAAUUUUGUAGGAAUUAAUGUGAAUAGUAUUGAUUUUAAUAUUUCAAUAACUGUUCAACUUAAGAGAAAUCUCUGUGAACAGUGUAGUGUUAGGAAACAGGUGGCUGGGGAUAGUUUUUAAUGAGUCCUUCCUGUGCUCAUCACAAAAUGCCUUCAUAAGCUUAGUUUGGCUUUGUGAUUAAGUUUUUAACAUUUUGCUAGACUUUCAUUCCUCUAGUAUAUUCAUGCGUUGAAAAAAUUCAUAUUCCUUUCUUGAAUCUUUUAACAAGCUAUUCAGUGAUACUAUAACACUAUUUACUUAUUUUUUUCAGAGUGUAUGGUGUACUGCUUUCUAUACUUCCGCCAAAUGUAAAACAAACAAACACAAAAACUUAGAAUCUUGAAAUCUUUAAGUCUUCUCUCAAACAAUCUGGUCACAUUUACAGGAGUGUCCAAAAUGAGAUGACGGAUAAUAUCAGUGCCAGCACUAUGUCAUACAGCAACUUCCUCAUGUUCUUAUUCUUUGACAGUUUCUAGGUCAUUUUCCAUUUCACCAAAAGUUACAAAAGUUUCCACAGCUUCCCUUAGCAAGCUGAAGCUUACUCUUCAUUUGUCAAUGUGCAUAAAAGCUGCUUAUAGCAUAGCAUGGCGUAAGCUAUUUUUUAAGCAAUAAAUGGUGUGAAUCAUCUAUUUUGUCCUGAAAUGCUAUCUGUAGUUAACUGCAUUGCUUAUAAAUGGUCAUAGUAAAUUCAGCAUGAAAGAGAAUAUUACAGAAAAGAC